CGUAGGUGGCAAGCGUUGUCCGGAUUUAUUGGGUUUAAAGGGUGCGUAGGUGGCCCUGUAAGUCAGUGGUGAAAUAUCUCAGCUUAACUGAGAGGGUGCCAUUGAUACUGCAGGGCUUGAGUACAGAUGAGGUAGGCGGAAUUGACGGUGUAGCGGUGAAAUGCAUAGAUAUCGUCAAGAACACCGAUAGCGAAGGCAGCUUACCAAGCUGUAACUGACACUGAGGCACGAAAGUGUGGGGAUCAAACAGGAUUAGAUACCCUGGUAGUCCACACUGUAAACGUUGAUGACUCGAUGUUGGCGAUACGCAGCCAGCGUCCAAGAGCAAUCGUUAAGUCAUCCACCUGGGGAGUACGCCGGCAACGGUG
RNAcentral lists this ribosomal RNA (368 nucleotides) under uncultured organism. RNAcentral's name for it is "bacterial SSU rRNA". It matches the Rfam family "Bacterial small subunit ribosomal RNA", at positions 526 to 896 of the family's 1533-position model. The record is from RNAcentral.